GGUUGCCCCGACACACCCCUACAGGACCUUCGCUUGUGUGUACGCACGCGCACCUGGAAGUAUCUGAUUCGGUUCUGGGAGAGCCUUGGAUGACCAGAGGGAGAGCCUUGGAGGACCAGAGACAGAUUGGAGUCGCACCUGCCGGCAGGUGGAGAGAGAGGGAGGCUUCCGAGGCUACUUCUGAAGCAGAACGGAUCUUGGAAGCUGAGGUCAGGGAAUGGAGAGAGCUGCAGGGAUGAGGUCACUGAGGCCCAGAGAAGUGAAGUGACUCGGCCAAGGUCACACAGCAGACAAGUGGCGGAGCGGGGAUCAGGACCCACGACCUCCUAACUCCCAGGCCGGUGCUUCGUCCACUACGCCAUGCUGCUUCUCAGACAGCAUCUUCCCCAGGCCCAUCAUAGAAUCUUAAAUUCAGGAGGAAGUUCAAGAAGUCAUCUGAUCCAACCUCCUGCCACCAGAACAGGUGCGUGACUAAGCCAUCCAGAUUAAACGAUGCUCCGCUCCCCUUCGGAAGAUGACCCACUCUGGCCUGUCCCACUGUUUUAUCACCCUGAGAGUGAAGAAGGAAUCUGCUUUCUGUCUUCCCCCCAUGACGGUUCACUCUGGAGAGUGGUUUCGGGGGCUGGGGAAAGAGAAGAGGUCACUGCAGCUGGUCUCCCCACUGAAACUUCAUUCUUGGGGAGGUUUAGGUAAGGAUAUAAUGUACAUUUUUUUCCCCCUGGGAGCUGCUUGCCGUUCCUGAGGAAAAAUCCCCAAGAAUUGACAUUAAAUUUAGAAGUGUGAAA
Long non-coding RNA from Ornithorhynchus anatinus (platypus), 785 nucleotides. RefSeq lists it as uncharacterized. The transcript is spliced from 3 exons. NCBI's taxonomy places the organism in Eukaryota, Metazoa, Chordata, Mammalia, Monotremata, Ornithorhynchidae. The record is from RefSeq and is a predicted model, not a curated record.